CCACGCAGGGAUGACCAUGGUGGCUAGGGUCUAGCCGAAGCCAUCUCCUAGACAACCUCGAAUACUUGCAGCAGCCCUCAGCUCCCUUUCGUGUGUGUCCCUCUAUUCGUCAACUUCUGGUGAAUGGAUGCUCCAUUGAGGGCGCCUAGGGGGUCAUAUUUAUACCCUUCGGGAGCCUUGGGGCGUGCUCCACCUUCCCUUGCACGAGCUCCUUGCUUGGGACUUAAGCAAACUUGAUUUUCAUAAAAUAUGACUCGCCCAGAAUUUUAUUUUACACAGCCCUUCUUUCCCGACACCAUCUCUCCCAUGUCCGAACUCCAAAUAGGGAAACUCUGCUACCUAAAUUGUUU
This 350-nucleotide long non-coding RNA is filed under the name Setaria viridis. Its description in RNAcentral is "long non-coding RNA (SVIR_LNC003076)". The record is from RNAcentral. Lineage: Eukaryota; Viridiplantae; Streptophyta; Magnoliopsida; Poales; Poaceae.